RNAcentral lists this ribosomal RNA (440 nucleotides) under uncultured bacterium. RNAcentral describes it as "partial 16S ribosomal RNA". It matches the Rfam family "Bacterial small subunit ribosomal RNA", at positions 338 to 795 of the family's 1533-position model. The record is from RNAcentral.
CCUUCGGGUGGCAGCAGUGGGGAAUAUUGCACAAUGGGGGAAACUCUGAUGCAGCGACGCCGCGUGAGUGAAGAAGUAUUUCGGUAUGUAAAGCUCUAUCAGCAGGGAAGAACAUGACGGUGCCUGAUUAAAAUACCCCGCCUAACUACGGGCCAGAAGCCGCGGUAAUACGUAGGGGGCAAGCGUUAUCCGGAUUUACUGGGUGUAAAGGGAGCGUAGACGGCAGGACAAGUCUGGAGUGAAAUGCCGGGGCUUAACCCCGGAACUGCUUUGGAAACUGUGCAGCUAGAGUGCAGGAGAGGUAAGUGGAAUUCCUAGUGUAGCGGUGAAAUGCGUAGAUAUUAGGAGGAACACCAGUGGCGAAGGCGGAUUACUGGACUGUAACUGACGGUGAGGCUCGAAAGCGUGGGGAGCAAACAGGAUUAGAUACCCGGGUAGUC